GAUGAACGCUGGCGGCGUGCUUAACACAUGCAAGUCGAGCGAAGCGCUCUGGAAGAUUCCUUCGGGAUGAUUCCUUAGUGACUUAGCGGCGGACGGGUGAGUAACGCGUGGGCAACCUGCCUUGUACAGGGGGAUAACAGUUAGAAAUGACUGCUAAUACCGCAUAAGCGCACAGCAUGGCAUCAUGCAGUGUGAAAAACUCCGGUGGUACAAGAUGGGCCCGCGUUGGAUUAGCUUGUUGGUGGGGUAACGGCCCACCAAGGCGACGAUCCAUAGCCGGACUGAGAGGUCGAACGGCCACAUUGGGACUGAGACACGGCCCAGACUCCUACGGGAGGCAGCAGUGGGGAAUAUUGCACAAUGGAGGAAACUCUGAUGCAGCGACGCCGCGUGAGUGAUGAAGUAUUUCGGUAUGUAAAGCUCUAUCAGCAGGAAGAAGACGACGUAC
This 448-nucleotide ribosomal RNA is filed under the name bacterium LE2014. RNAcentral's name for it is "bacterial SSU rRNA". It matches the Rfam family "Bacterial small subunit ribosomal RNA", at positions 28 to 458 of the family's 1533-position model. The record is from RNAcentral.